RNAcentral lists this ribosomal RNA (492 nucleotides) under uncultured bacterium. Its description in RNAcentral is "partial 16S ribosomal RNA". It matches the Rfam family "Bacterial small subunit ribosomal RNA", at positions 29 to 507 of the family's 1533-position model. The record is from RNAcentral.
AGUGAACGCUGGCGGUAGGCCUAACACAUGCAAGUCGAACGGCAGCACAGUAAGAGCUUGCUCUUACGGGUGGCGAGUGGCGGACGGGUGAGGAAUACAUCGGAAUCUACUUUUUCGUGGGUGAUAACGUAGGGAAACUUACGCUAAUACCGCAUACGACCUACGGGUGAAAGCAGGGGAUCUUCUGACCUUGCGCGAUUGAAUGAGCCGAUGUCGGAUUAGCUAGUUGGCGGGGUAAAGGCACACCAAGGCGACGAUCCGUAGCUGGUCUGAGAGGAUGAUUAGCCACACGGGAACUGAGACACGGUCCAGACUCCUACGGGAGGAAGCAGUGGGGAAUAUUGGACAAUGGGGGCAAGCCGGAUCCAGCAAUACCGCGUGGGGGAAGAAGGCCUUCGGGUUGUAAAGCCAUUUUGUUGGGAAAGAAAAGCAGCAGGUUAAUACCCCGCUGUUCUGACGGUACCGAAAGAAUAAGCACCGGCUAACUUCGUG